UACGUAGGAGGCGAGCGUUGUCCGGAUUUACUGGGCGUAAAGCGCGCGCAGGCGGCAGUGCAAGUAAGGUGUGAAAUCUCCCUGCUCAACGGGGAGGGUGCACUUUAGACUGCACAGCUCGAGGUCGGUAGAGGGGGGUGGAAUUGCUGGUGUAGCGGUGAAAUGCGUAGAGAUCAGCAGGAACACCAAUAGCGAAGGCAGCUCGCUGGGACGGUACUGACGCUAAGGCGCGAAAGCGUGGGGAGCGAACAGG
This 253-nucleotide ribosomal RNA is filed under the name uncultured bacterium. RNAcentral describes it as "partial 16S ribosomal RNA". It matches the Rfam family "Bacterial small subunit ribosomal RNA", at positions 524 to 776 of the family's 1533-position model. The record is from RNAcentral.